CCUACGGGUGGCAGCAGUGAGGAAUAUUGGUCAAUGGACGCAAGUCUGAACCAGCCAUGCCGCGUGCAGGAAGACGGCUCUAUGAGUUGUAAACUGCUUUUGUACGAGGGUAAACGCAGAUACGCGUACCUGUCUGAAAGUAUCGUACGAAUAAGGAUCGGCUAACUCCGUGCCAGCAGCCGCGGUAAUACGGAGGAUUCAAGCGUUAUCCGGAUUUAUUGGGUUUAAAGGGUGCGUAGGCGGUCGGCUAAGUUAGAGGUGAAAUCCCGAGGCUCAACUUUGGAAUUGCCUCUGAUACUGUUCGUCUAGAGAGUAGUUGCGGUAGGCGGAAUGUAUGGUGUAGCGGUGAAAUGCUUAGAGAUCAUACAGAACACCGAUUGCGAAGGCAGCUUACCAGGCUACUUCUGACGUUGAGGCACGAAAGCGUGGGGAGCAAACAGGAUUAGAUACCCGAGUAGUC
Molecule: ribosomal RNA, 460 nt
Filed under: uncultured bacterium
Lineage: Bacteria
Description: partial 16S ribosomal RNA
Rfam family: Bacterial small subunit ribosomal RNA
Source: RNAcentral